This 367-nucleotide ribosomal RNA is filed under the name uncultured bacterium. Its description in RNAcentral is "bacterial SSU rRNA". It matches the Rfam family "Bacterial small subunit ribosomal RNA", at positions 355 to 739 of the family's 1533-position model. The record is from RNAcentral.
UGGGGAAUAUUGCACAAUGGGGGAAACCCUGAUGCAGCAACGCCGCGUGAGUGAUGAAGGCCUUCGGGUUGUAAAGCUCUGUCUUUGGGGACGAUAAUGACGGUACCCAAGGAGGAAGCAACGGCUAACUACGAGCCAGCAGCCGCGGUAAUACGUAGGUGGCAAGCGUUGUCCGGAUUUACUGGGCGUAAAGGGAGCGUAGGUGGAUAUUUAAGUGGGAUGUGAAAUACCUGAGCUUAACUUGGGUGCUGCAUUCCAAACUGGAUAUCUAGAGUGCAGGAGAGGAAAGUGGAAGUCCUAGUGUGGCGGUGAAAUGCGUAGAGAUUAGGAAGAACACCAGUGGCGAAGGCGACUGUAUGGACUGUAA